This 71-nucleotide transfer RNA is filed under the name Gekko hokouensis. RNAcentral's name for it is "tRNA-Ala". The record is from RNAcentral. Lineage: Eukaryota; Metazoa; Chordata; Lepidosauria; Squamata; Gekkonidae.
GUGAGGCGUUAGCUUAAUUAAAGUAUCUGGGUUGCAGUCAGAAGAUGUAUAUUAAUGUUAUACGCGCUUUC